This is a long non-coding RNA of Mirounga angustirostris (Northern elephant seal), 2591 nucleotides long. RefSeq lists it as uncharacterized. Lineage: Eukaryota; Metazoa; Chordata; Mammalia; Carnivora; Phocidae. The record is from RefSeq and is a predicted model, not a curated record. The transcript has 6 exons.
AGCUAGGGCUUGUAUGGGUGACACUAAAAUGUAGUUUAUCUGCGAAUCAGGUAUUAGCCUCGCGGAAGUGUUUUUUGUGUUUUUUUGGCAGUCCUGGGAAAGCUUCAGUAUCGCAACAGACGCUGAAUAAAUGUUGGGAUUCGAGAAUGAAGUAACAGCCUCUGCCUUCAUGCUUACGUUCUAUGCCGGGAUCGUAGAAGGGAUUCACAAAUAAAACACGUGUUUUCUUUAGCAAGCAUUUACUGUGUGAGCCGUGUUCCGUGGAGGAAAGAAGGAUGGGCAGGGUGCAGGAAUGAUUGGCUGUCCUGACCCAACAGUGAAUGAGAGUUCCUGUGGCUCCACAUCCUCACCAGCAUUUGGUGUCGUCGGUGUUCCAGAUUCUGACCAAUCUCAUAGGUCCUGACCCACUGGUGGGGAAGAGUGAAAGGGAGAUUGCAUCUGCUCAGGGGUCCCUCGUGAUUCCCCUUGUGUAUCCUGAUUUUGGCCGAUGGAAUGCAAGAAGCACUGUGUCUGGUGACUUUGGGGAAAGGCUCUGCCACCUGACACCAGGGUGAGGUGACAAGGGGCAGGUUCUGUGGCUCUGGCAUCCUCCAUCCCUCCCAGAUGCUGCCCCGUGAGGAUGUAACAUGAGAAGCCACGGCAGCUAUGACCUUAAAAGGAGACGUUCCGGGCCCCACCAGGACUAAAGAGCAGGAAGGAGGAAAGACCUGGGUUCCAGGCAAGUUUGGGCCUGGAGCAGACAGAUGGCCAGCAACUGCAAAGGCUGCACACGUUAAAAUAUACAUCGGCCAGAAAGAGGCUGAGGUCUUCUGUGACCAGAUCCAGUGCCCACGCACCCUGGGGCUCAGCCCGCAAGUUGAUUGCAUGAAGGGUCGAAGGCAUCACACGUCCAAGCACCGUGCUUGUCUGCAGGAGGUUGGCUUGGCCCAGAAUCGCCUUCUGCCUGAUGGGAAGGUUGGUUCGAUUUCAGACCACCAUCACUAUUUACCUGUCCUCCCACAAGAAUGAAAGACCGCAGUACAAGUACAUAUGGCACUCACUUUGCAGUUCAUAGUCUCAUAAAAGUUGUAACCAUUGGCUUCACCCAGGAAAGAGUGGUCAUCAACGGACACAAACAGGUGGGAAGCUCCCUGCACUUGGUGUCGUGCUUGCGGACCUGAAGGGGGACUCCAGCGAGUCCAGCACCAAUGGACAGUGGUCUAAAACCUGCAUAAGGGGACGCCUGGGUGGCUCAGUCGUUUAAGCGUCUGCCUUCGGCUCAGGUCAUGGUCCCAGGGUCCUGGGAUCGAGCCCCGCAUCAGGCUCCUUGCUGUGCUCCCCCUACUUGUGCUCUCUCUGUUAAAUAAAUAACAAAUAAAAUCUUAAAAAAAUAAAAGCUGCAUAAAAAUGGCAAAUCUCUUCUCAGAGAGCAAUAUUUCAAUCUCACCAGAGCUACUGAUAUUUCAAAGUUAAAACAAUGGACAGUAAUUUGGAGUUUUAAAUGGUGCAGAAACAGAUUUUCUAAUUUCACUUCCGACAGAAAUUAAAUUUAGACAAAAAAGUAAUAAUACUGAAGCAUAGAUUAGAAUUUCAGUCAGGAUUUGUCAUGGCAAUUGCUUUCCCUUUUUUGGCCCUUUAAUGUUUCCCUCUAAUGACAAUUUGCUGACAUUUCUUAGAAGAAUGAAACCAGUUGAGAUCUAAGCAUUUGUUUGAGUGCAAGCUGAGUUUUAAAUUAAUUUCCCCAGAGAAAAUAAGGGCUCCAGAGGGGUCAUAUUAGCCACAAAGGUUGAGCUGUCUGAAGGUAUUGUGAAACCCCAGAGCUGAAACAAUCCUGAAAAAAAAGUGGGGAGCAAUGAUUUCAGUUCCUUUCAGAAGAGCAGGAAAGCAGCAACCUACCUAAGGGGGUGAUGAGACAUUGUUUUACAAAACUAAGCAGAAGGGAUGAAGUCCAUUCUAAAAGCUAUGAGAGAUGGAUCAUUUACUUUAAAAAAAAAUCUGUCAGAGUCUCCUACAUUGGACAAGGCUCUGUGUUCGGUGCUGUGGGGGUUACAAAAAUUAAAACAGAAGUUCUACUCUCAAGAGGCAAAAAGAUCUUCACAUCUGGUAGAACUCGGUAAGUCCCAAAGGGUAUUUGGGGGGGGGGGGCGUUGUGCCUUAAUUUAUGUGUUCACUCCUCAAAUAUUUGGGGAGAUCUACUAGGUCUGAGCACCGGGCUCUAUACUUCUGAUACACCAUAAAGAAGGCGGAGCCCCUCCCACGGAGGCACAAUUGUAGUUCCACAAGAUACUUGCUAACACAGAGGCAUAAAUGGGACGCCAGUGAUGAAUAUCACGUGUGUUUUGAUAUCAGAAUGAGCAAAAUUUCAUUUCUCCCUCACUGAUUAUUUUUGUGAUGACCACAAACUUACGUUUUCUGGGAUUUACUUUUCUUGUUUACAAAAUUAAGAAUAUUUUACUUACUUCAAAGAACUAGUCUAACAGUAUAAUAGGAUUGCAUAUGUGAGAUUCAGGCACGAAUCAGCACAGCCAGGAGAAAUUGCAUAUGGCCGGUGUAGUAGUCUAUUACCCUGAGAACCAGAGGAGAGAGCAAUCCUCCCUUCUUUCCAGGUAAAG